GCCGGCGUAGCUCAGUUGGUAGAGCAAUUGACUUGUAAUCAAUAGGUCGGGGGUUCGAAGCCUCUCGCCGGCU
This 73-nucleotide transfer RNA is filed under the name Candidatus Omnitrophota bacterium. RNAcentral describes it as "Candidatus Omnitrophica bacterium (sediment metagenome) tRNA-Thr". It matches the Rfam family "tRNA". Rfam says of the family: Transfer RNA (tRNA) molecules are approximately 80 nucleotides in length. Their secondary structure includes four short double-helical elements and three loops (D, anti-codon, and T loops). Lineage: Bacteria; Pseudomonadati; Candidatus Omnitrophota. The record is from RNAcentral.